Molecule: ribosomal RNA, 465 nt
Filed under: Vreelandella stevensii
Lineage: Bacteria; Pseudomonadati; Pseudomonadota; Gammaproteobacteria; Oceanospirillales; Halomonadaceae
Description: partial 16S ribosomal RNA
Rfam family: Bacterial small subunit ribosomal RNA
Source: RNAcentral
CCUACGGGCGGCUGCAGUGGGGAAUAUUGGACAAUGGGGGGAACCCUGAUCCAGCCAUGCCGCGUGUGUGAAGAAGGCCCUCGGGUUGUAAAGCACUUUCAGUGAGGAAGAACGCCUGGUGGUUAAUACCCAUCAGGAAAGACAUCACUCACAGAAGAAGCACCGGCUAACUCCGUGCCAGCAGCCGCGGUAAUACGGAGGGUGCGAGCGUUAAUCAGAAUUACUGGGCGUAAAGCGCGCGUAGGUGGCUUGAUAAGCCGGUUGUGAAAGCCCCGGGCUCAACCUGGGAACGGCAUCCGGAACUGUCAAGCUAGAGUGCAGGAGAGGAAGGUAGAAUUCCCGGUGUAGCGGUGAAAUGCGUAGAGAUCGGGAGGAAUACCAGUGGCGAAGGCGGCCUUCUGGACUGACACUGACACUGAGGUGCGAAAGCGUGGGUAGCAAACAGGAUUAGAUACCCCGGUAGUC